GUUUUUGAAACUCGCUUCAGCAGAACAUUUACUAAAAUUGGAAUGAUACAAAGAAGAGUAACAUGGCCCCAGAGCAAGGAUGACACACAAAUUUGUGAAGUGUUCCAUAUUUUU
Molecule: small nuclear RNA, 114 nt
Organism: Anolis carolinensis (green anole)
Lineage: Eukaryota; Metazoa; Chordata; Lepidosauria; Squamata; Anolidae
Source: Ensembl